This 329-nucleotide unclassified non-coding RNA is filed under the name soil metagenome. Its description in RNAcentral is "partial contains 5.8S ribosomal RNA, internal transcribed spacer 2, and large subunit ribosomal RNA". The stretch from base 1 to 120 matches the Rfam family "5.8S ribosomal RNA", at positions 35 to 154 of the family's 154-position model. The record is from RNAcentral.
GAUGAAGAACGUAGCGAAAUGCGAUAAGUAGUGUGAAUUGCAGAAUUCAGUGAAUCAUCGAAUCUUUGAACGCACAUUGCGCCCCUUGGUAUCCCGAGGGUCAUGCCUGUUCGAGCGUCAUUUCACCACUCAAGCCUGGCUUGGUGUUGGGCGACGUCCCCUUUGGGGACGCGCCUCGAAACGCUCGGCGGCGUGGCACCGGCUUUAAGCGUAGCAGAAUCUUUCGCUUUGGAAGUCGGGGCCCCGUCUGCCGGAAGACCUACUCGCAAGGUUGACCUCGGAUCAGGCAGGGAUACCCGCUGAACUUAAGCAUAUCAAUAAGCGGAGGA